Cannabis sativa is the source of this 5224-nucleotide long non-coding RNA. RefSeq lists it as uncharacterized. The record is from RefSeq and is a predicted model, not a curated record. The transcript has 2 exons. Lineage: Eukaryota; Viridiplantae; Streptophyta; Magnoliopsida; Rosales; Cannabaceae.
UGUUAUGUUAAUAGGAAGAAAAUUUUCUUUUAUAGAAAAAUAAUAAGUUGAUUUUAUCUACUAGGAAUAUUUAAAUUAUUCAAAUAGUUGGGUUGAUUUCUUAAGAAUUUUAUUUUAGAAGAAUUAGAACUAAAUAUUAAGAGACAUUAUUGCUUAGACGAUCAAGUCGCCUCAAUAGAAACAAUCAAGAAGGAGGAGCUUCAAAACCUACAAGAAGUUUAAGAAGAAGACGAACUACAAGGCUAAGCUAGUCAUGGUGGAGGACAAGGAUAACGAGUUUCAUUAUUAUGGAAGUGGCACCCACGUAAGUACAUAUAACGCAUAGGCUGAGUUAUGAGGACACUCAUUUUUGCGAGUAGUUGGUGAAAGAGAACGCCAGCUUAGGGAACGACUCCAAGCUCAAGAUGAAAAGUUGUGUUGUAAUAAGCAGUAAAGCACGAGAAAAUUCAACUCAACAACCAACACAUCGCUUCGAGCCACCAUAUGAAAGAAUAAAAAAAAAUAGCAACCACUGAUAUUUGAAAGAGGCUCUAACCCAUUAGAGGGGAAGGAACAACCAAAGAUUAUAGCAUCCAUAUUGGAUAUAUGGAACUCAAUAAUAGACAACUAACAAAUGACUUGAUAGAGUUGGAAAUAAAGGAUCAUGACGCUGUACUCGAUAUGGAUUGGCAAAUGGUUCAUCAAUUACUAAAAUUAUUUGGUCGCUUUUGGCAACAAAGGCCAAAGACAAGUGUACAUUCACAAGAGUUAAGAUAGCCUUAUGAACUUCUUUAAUCUCAUCCUUAAAGACUAACAAGCUAAGGAAGGUAUGGUGUCAAGCAUUGUUGGCCAAUGUAGUGAACCAAGUAGUGGAGACACAACUAACCAUGAAAAACAUCCACAUAGUCUGUUAAUUCCAAAAGGUCUUUCUAAAAGAUCUACCGUGGAUACCCUCAGACAGUGAUGUGGAGUUCAUAAUCAAGUUAGCUCCAAGAGUGCUUAAAUUUUGAAGAUUCCAUAUAAAAAUGGCAAUUUAUGAGCUGUAGAAACUCAAAGUAUAGCUACAAGAGCUCCUAGAUAAAGGGAUCAUUAGACCAAGUUACUCACCUUGGGGUGCUCCAGUACUCUUCAUCAAGAAGAAAGAUGAAAGCAUGAGAUUGUGCAUAGAUGACCUCAAGCUCAACAAGGUGACCAUCAAGAAUAAGUAUCCUUUACCAAGGAUGGACGAUCUCUUCGAUCAAUUGCAAGGCUUCAGUGUAUUCUAAAAAAAAAAACAAGAGAGAUUUAAGAUCUAGGUAUCACCAGCUGAAGGUUCGGAAGGAAGACAUACCUAAGACAGCAUUCAGAACGCGCUAUGGACACUAUGAGUUUUUAGUAAUGUCUUUUGCACUAACUAACGCCCAGCAGCCUUCAUGGAUAUGAUGAAUAUGGUGUUCAAGGAGUACCUAGAUAAGUUUGUUGUUGUAUUCAUUAAUGACAUUCUUAUCUACUCCAAAACUAUGGAGGAACAUGAGGAACACCUGAGGAUGACUCUAAACCGACUUAAGGAGAACCAACUUCAGGAAAUGUGAAUUCUAGUUAGAGAAGGUGGCAUUCCUACGCCAUAUAGUUUCCAAAGGUGGAGUCGAGGUGGAUCCUACAAACAUCGAAGCGGUCAAGAGCUGGCCAACACCUAAGACUGCAAGUGAAGUAAGAAGCUUCUUGGGUCUAGCUGGUUACUACAGAUGCUUUGCUGAAGGAUUUUCCAAGAUCGCAAUUCCUCUAACCAACUUGACUCGAAAGACGCAGAAGUUUGUCUGGCCAGAAAAGUGUGAGGAUAGCUUUCAAACACUUAAGGAAAAACUAAUAACAACCCCUAUAUUAUGUGUUUCUAAUAACAAGGAUAAGUUUUUUGGUUUACUGUGAUGCAUCAAAACAAGGGUUGGGAUGCGUGCUAAUGCAAAAUGACAAGGUAGUAGUGUAUGCCUCAAGACAACUUAAUGAGUAUGAAUAGAGGUACCCGACAUACGAUCUAAAGUUGGCAGUAGUAGAUUUUGCGCUAAAAUAUGGAGGCACUAUCUCUACGUGGAGAAAUGUAAAAUUUAUACUAACCACAAGAGCCUAAAGAACUUCUUUAUGCAAAAGGAACUCAACAUGAGGCAGAGAUGAUGGCUAGAGCUUGUUAAGAACUAUGAUUGUGAAAUCCACUACCACCUAGGGAAGGCCAAUGUAGUAGUAGACACGCUAAGUAGACGCAGUUAUGCUAGCUUGGCAAUACUAGCACGAAUGGAAAAGCCCCUACAACAGGAACUCCAAAGAAGUGGUAUAGAGAUCAUUACACAAAAACUAGCUAACCUAACCAUUGUCUCGACGCUACAUCAAGAACUUAAAGAUGUACAGAUUGUUGAUGAGUUCUUACAAAAGAAAAGAGCAGGCUUGCCAGAGAAGGAGGCAGAGGAUUUCUCUGAAGGUACAGACGGCAUGCUGAGGUAUAUGGGAAGAGUGUGUGGCCAACAACGUAGAGCUUAAAAGAAAAAUCAUGAUGGAAGCACACACUACACCCUACUCAAUGCAUCUAGGGUCAACAAAAAUGUACAAUGACUUAAAAACCUUGUAGUGGUGACCAUGGAUGAAGAAGGAUGUAGCUGAAUUCGUAGCUAGAUGCCUUACAUGUCAACAAGUUAAAGCUGAACAUCAAAAACCAGUAGGGAUGUUGCAGCCCUUGAAAAUCCCAGAAUGGAAGUGGGAAGAUAUAGCCAUGGAUUUUGUGACAGGACUAUCUCGAACAACCAAGCAACACGACUCAUUUUGGAUAAUUAUAGACAGACUCACAAAGUCAGCACACUUUGUUCCAGUAUAGUCUACUGACAACGCAGAGCAGUAAGCUGACUUGUACGUACAAGAGAUAUUAAGGUUGCAUGGAGUUCCAAAGACGAUAGUCUCGGAUGGAGGUUCAGUAUUCACCUCCAAGUUUUGCGAGAGUUUACAUAAGGCAAUGGGGACGAGAUUAAAACUUAGCACAACAUUUUAUCCCCAAACAGAUGGACAAUUUGAACGCACCAUCCAAAUACUCGAGGAUAUGCUUUGAGCAUGUGCACUAGACUUCACUGGCUCGUGGAGUAAGUAUUUACCUCUAAUAGAAUUCUCCUACAAUAAUAGAUAUCAAGCCACCAUCAAAAUGGUGCCAUAUGAGAUGGUGAAUGGACAAAAAUAUAGAUCACCGCUUCACUAGGAUGUAGUUAGAGAAAGACGCUAUUUAGGUCCAUUAAGUAGCCAGAGUGACGUACUCGUGUAUAAGAGCCAUUCAUUCCGUGGGUGUAAGGAUCCAAUGGAGGCUUGAAGCGGGGACGUUACAAAAUGGUAUUAGAAGCAGUAGUUGAAAGAUACGGCAAAAGAUGCUCACUGCCAAAAGUAGACAGAAAAGUUAUGCAGAUAUGAGAAGACGGGAGGUUGAGUAUUCUGUAGGGGACUUAGUGUUCUUGAAGGUAUCACCUAUGAAGGGAUUAUGCGUUUCAGAAAAAGGGGAAAGUUAAGCCUAAGAUUUAUAGGUCCUUUCGACAUACUGGACAAAGUUGGUUAGGUAGCUUACCGUUUGGCCCUACUGGCAACAUUAGCAGAAACGCAUAAUGUUUUCCACAUUUCCAUGUUACGGAAGUAUAUAUCUGAUCUGACACAUGUGCUUAAGUACGAGAACUUGAACUUGCAGCAGGACAUGAGUUAUAUGGCACGCCGUCUGCGCGUGAUAGAAAAGGAAAUAAAAGUCUUACGAAAUAAGACUAUACCCUUAGUCAAAUCCUGUGGAGUGAUAGUUCUGAUAAAGAAGCGACAUGGGAGUUAGAGACAGACAUGCAAAAAUAGUAACCCGAGUUAUUCUCUAGUAAGUAAAUUUCGAGGACGAAAUUCCUUUAAGGAGGGUAAAUUGUAAUGACCAAAAUAUUUAGUAAUUAUUUUCUAUUAUAAUAGUCUAGAUAUCUCGAUGCGGAAAUAGUAAUUUUAUAAGAUAAGUUAUUUAUAUUAAUAUUACAAUCUUGUAAUAGUGUUAAAAAUAAAAGAUCAUAGAUAAUAGUAAUCAUUUAUUUUAUUAAAACCCAACAUUACAUUACGAUAUGGACCAUGGUAUUUUAGUAGAAGUAAUUAGUUUACUAGAUGGUAUUAUGAAGGAAAAAGCUUGAGUAUUGUUAUAAUCAACUAUGGGUUUUAUUAGUUAUACGUGGCUAUACUAUUUUAUAAGUUACAAUAUGAUGGACAUGAGUAUUAUGAUUAGUAUUAUGUCUCUUUAUUUGAAUAAUUAGUGUAGAAGUAGAAGGUUAUGUGAUGACUUUGGGAAUAUGAAGUCUUGUUAAAAAGUUAGAUAUAUAUAUUCAAGUUUGGACGUGUGUCAUUAGGAGAGGAGUUAGUGGAUGGUUGAGUUUGUGUUAAUGAAUAGGUCAAUAGACUAAGUAGUACACGUGGAGAUCUUGGAGGGUAAAGCUCUUAACCAACAACAAUUAAAGACCAAGUAGUAGUCUAGAUUCAGCUAGUUUCUCUCAUUUAAAUUGUAUUGACUGAGUUUAUGGUGGAGCAAAUAAGGGAGUUGGCAUUUUGAAUUUUAAUUUUGAUAGUUUUAUAAAUCUUAACUAUAGUUAAGAUAAGGUCACGACAUAGAGUUAAGGGAUGGGUUAAUGUUAAACUUAGGCCUAUAAAUAGCCAUAUAGUUCUCUUAUUUUGCACUCAUUCAAAGAAGCUAGAUUGACCUCUCAAACAUUCACCCUUUGGUCAUUUCUAAAAUCCAUGCCAUAAUCUUCUUCUCCCAUUUUAUUAUUCUCACUUGAUUAUCUAAAGCAUAAACCUUACUCGUAGACAUCUUAUCCUACAUUUUUUGUCAUCUUCUCACACACAUAUAUAUAUAUACAUAUACAUAUAAAUCUUUCAUCAUAUCAGUAUCAUCACCAUCAUUUGGAAGCUAAUUAAGGUUUUUCAUAAGGCGAUUAUUGUUUCACAUGAUCACUCUUAUUGACAUCAAGACUAGGACUCCACAUUCGAGAUUAAGGUUGUAAGACUUAGAAAGCCGGUGGAAAAUGAGACCUUGGAGGCUUGUGUGUGUACUCGCUGAGGACCAUAUAACUGAGGGUGGUCUAGGGCACGCUCCAUUUAUUUUAUUAAGUGUUAUUAAAUUAAUGUCGCAAUUAUUUUUAUAUAUUAAUUAUUAUGUCUUUAAGUCCAAACUGUGCUCAAAUAUGAAAUAUUUUAUGUUUAUAAAUAAAAGCGACAUUACAGUUUUUCCGCA